Mandrillus leucophaeus (drill) is the source of this 880-nucleotide RNA transcript. It is a transcript of the gene named RWD domain-containing protein 1 pseudogene, with no coding region annotated. The record is from RefSeq and is a predicted model, not a curated record. Lineage: Eukaryota; Metazoa; Chordata; Mammalia; Primates; Cercopithecidae. The transcript has a single exon.
AUGACAGACUACGGCCAGAAGCAGCGCAGGAGUCCAUCUACCCUGACUCCUUCAUGGUAUUAUCAGAAAAUCCACCCAGUUUCACCAUUACUGUGACAUCUGAGGCUGGAGAAAAUGAUGAAACUGUCCAGACUACCCUCAAGUUUACAUACAGUGAAAAAUACCCAGAUGAAGUUCCCCUUUAUGAAAUAUUCCCUCCGGAAAAUCUGGAAGAGAAUGAUGUCUCAGACAUUUUAAGAUUACUAGCAGUACAGGCUGAAGAAAAUCUUGGUAUGGUGAUGAUCUUUACUCCAGUGACAGCUGUGCAAGAAAAAUUAAAUGAUAUAGUAGAUCAGAUAAAAACUAGAAGAGAAGAAGAAAAGAAAACAAGAAACAGAAGCAGAAAAGGUUGAAAAGCAAUUAUUCCAUGGCAUCCCAAUUACAAUAGAGAAUUUCUUAAAUUGGAAGGCCAAGUUUGAUAAAGAAUUCUUGGAACUUAAAAAGAAAAGCAUAAAAGAAGAAUGAGCAAGAAAAAAUAAAUUAAGUGGGAAACAACUACUUGAACAGAUCAUAAUCUUGACACAUCUGAUAUCCAGUUCUUGGAGGAUGCUGGAAACAAUGUGGAGGUGGAUAAGUCUUUGUUCCAAGAAAUGGAUGACUUGGAGCUGGAGGAUGAUGAGGAUGAUCCGGGCUACAAUCCUGCUGACCCAGAGAGUGACUCAGCUGACUAAUGGACGUCCCCAUCUGCAGAAAGGCUUAACUGCCACAGCAUCUGUGGCUAUGCUCAGAGGGUUUUGAUUUUCCUUUCUUUUAUUCUAAGAAAAAUUAUUUUCAGGAGAAUACUCUUCUGAUAGCUUUCAUCAUUGAACUUGACAAACUGACCUUAAAAUUUCAAAAAAAA